Molecule: non-coding RNA, 597 nt
Organism: Arachis ipaensis
Lineage: Eukaryota; Viridiplantae; Streptophyta; Magnoliopsida; Fabales; Fabaceae
Source: RefSeq, a predicted model, not a curated record
CUUGCUCUUGCCCUUGCUCUUGCUCUAUACUGCUCUGUUUUGCCCCUGCUUCUGGCUUUCGCAAUUGCCAUAGUCCCUGCCGCCAUGGAUGUUGCCGUUAGAGUUGUUGGAAACCAACGAUGGAGCUGCCCGAAAACCCUAUUGUUGCUGCUUUAUUAUUUUAUUGUAAGCUAUCUCUAUUUCCAAUUCCAUUGAAUUCAUUUUCAUUUCCGAUUCCAUUGAAUUUGAACUCUCUAGUUUGUUGCAACCUUGGUUAAUGCUGUGAGGAUUACUGAUGUCGCUGUUACUGGAGUAUCAUUGGAAUCGACGUCAUUAUUACCCUAGUUAAUGCUGCUCCCUUCCCAUAUUUCUUUUGUUGCUGUUGCUGUUACUAGAGUUGUGGGUGAUGCCGCUACUGUUCCGGUGGUGUUGGAAUGACUACUGCCGCCACGAUCUGGGGAUAGAGGAAAUUGUUAUGUUAAAUAAUACGAUUGCGACAUCGAGGUAGAGGUUUUCUUAAAAUUCAUUUUAUCUUACAGAGUUGUUGUAAAUAGAUAUUAAUGUGAGAAACAUAUGUCUGUGAUUAUGAUUGUCUUAUAAAUGUGGUUGUUUGCUGGA